Molecule: ribosomal RNA, 236 nt
Filed under: uncultured Staphylococcus sp.
Lineage: Bacteria; Bacillati; Bacillota; Bacilli; Caryophanales; Staphylococcaceae
Description: partial 16S ribosomal RNA
Rfam family: Bacterial small subunit ribosomal RNA
Source: RNAcentral
GGGUGAGUAACACGUGGAUAACCUACCUAUAAGACUGGGAUAACUUCGGGAAACCGGAGCUAAUACCGGAUAAUAUUUUGAACCGCAUGGUUCAAAAGUGAAAGACGGUCUUGCUGUCACUUAUAGAUGGAUACGCGCUGCAUUAGCUAGUUGGUAAGGUAACGGCUUACCAAGGCAACGAUGCAUAGCCGACCUGAGAGGGUGAUCGGCCACACUGGAACUGAGACACGGUCCAG